Molecule: transfer RNA, 73 nt
Filed under: Bacteroidota bacterium
Lineage: Bacteria; Pseudomonadati; Bacteroidota
Description: Bacteroidetes bacterium (activated sludge metagenome) tRNA-Glu
Rfam family: tRNA
About the family: Transfer RNA (tRNA) molecules are approximately 80 nucleotides in length. Their secondary structure includes four short double-helical elements and three loops (D, anti-codon, and T loops).
Source: RNAcentral
GCACCAGUAGGCUAAUGGUUAGGCCACCACCCUUUCACGGUGGUCGUUCCGGGUUCGAGUCCCGGCUGGUGUG